UACGUAGGGUGCGAGCGUUGUCCGGAAUUACUGGGCGUAAAGAGCUCGUAGGUGGUUUGUCGCGUUGUUCGUGAAAUCUCACGGCUUAACUGUGAGCGUGCGAGCGAUACGGGCAGACUGGAGUACUGCAGGGGAGACUGGAAUUCCUGGUGUAGCGGUGGAAUGCGCAGAUAUCAGGAGGAACACCGGUGGCGAAGGCGGGUCUCUGGGCCGAUACUGACGCUGAGGAGCGAAAGCGUGGGGAGCGAACAGG
RNAcentral lists this ribosomal RNA (253 nucleotides) under uncultured bacterium. RNAcentral's name for it is "partial 16S ribosomal RNA". It matches the Rfam family "Bacterial small subunit ribosomal RNA", at positions 524 to 776 of the family's 1533-position model. The record is from RNAcentral.